UACAUGGGGUGCAAACGUUGCUCGGAAUUAUUGGGCGUAAAGCGCACGUAGGCGGUUCGUUAAGUCGGAUGUGAAAGCCCUCGGCUCAACUGAGGAAAGUGCACCCGAAACUGGCGAGCUUGAGUACGAAAGAGGAUCGCGGAAUUCCCGGUGUAGAGGUGAAAUUCGUAGAUAUCGGGAGGAACACCGGUGGCGAAGGCGGCGAUCUGGGUCGAUACUGACGCUGAGGUGCGGAAAGCGUGGGGAGCAAACAGG
This 255-nucleotide ribosomal RNA is filed under the name uncultured bacterium. RNAcentral describes it as "partial 16S ribosomal RNA". It matches the Rfam family "Bacterial small subunit ribosomal RNA", at positions 524 to 776 of the family's 1533-position model. The record is from RNAcentral.